UACGAAGGGUGCAAGCGUUACUCGGAAUUACUGGGCGUAAAGCGUGCGUAGGUGGUUUGUUAAGUCUGUUGUGAAAGCCCCGGGCUCAACCUGGGAAUGGCAGUGGAUACUGGAAAGCUAGAGUGCGGUAGAGGGUAGUGGAAUUCCCGGUGUAGCAGUGAAAUGCGUAGAGAUCGGGAGGAACACCAGUGGCGAAGGCGGCUACCUGGACCAGCACUGACACUGAGGCACGAAAGCGUGGGGAGCAAACAGG
RNAcentral lists this ribosomal RNA (253 nucleotides) under uncultured bacterium. Its description in RNAcentral is "partial 16S ribosomal RNA". It matches the Rfam family "Bacterial small subunit ribosomal RNA", at positions 524 to 776 of the family's 1533-position model. The record is from RNAcentral.